AUGCUCUCUUAUCCUUAAGGCUUUUUGAAUCCAAAGAAAAACAAUGAUUUCUUGUAGCCUAGCCCUAUUACAAGCUUAAGAAAGACCUUAGUGAUCCAUGAUUGAUAACAUGUCUUGUGAUUAUGUUGAGAUGUAUGUUUGAAUUGAUUUGUUGUGAACACAUUGCUUGGAUUGAGAGAAACACUACACCCUUGAGUUGAAACACUUGUGAGAAUUGUGAUUCUAGUUGAUUGUCUUGUUGAUUUGGAAUGUUUGAAAUCUUACUUGAAUUUUGAAACUAUUUCACAUUCAUGCUUUGAUUUCUUUGAUGAUUAUGAAGGUUUGAUUUUGAACUUGCAAUACAUUGAAUCAUGCAAACUUGAAAUGAUUGAAAUCCAAAGUUUUUGAUUGAUUACAAACCUUGACUGAAUUGUGCACUAUGAUGUUUGAGCCAUGUGNNN
RNAcentral lists this long non-coding RNA (440 nucleotides) under Trifolium pratense (red clover). Its description in RNAcentral is "long non-coding RNA (TPRA_LNC007000)". The record is from RNAcentral. Lineage: Eukaryota; Viridiplantae; Streptophyta; Magnoliopsida; Fabales; Fabaceae.